RNAcentral lists this transfer RNA (72 nucleotides) under Canis lupus familiaris (dog). It matches the Rfam family "tRNA". Rfam says of the family: Transfer RNA (tRNA) molecules are approximately 80 nucleotides in length. Their secondary structure includes four short double-helical elements and three loops (D, anti-codon, and T loops). The record is from Rfam by way of RNAcentral. Lineage: Eukaryota; Metazoa; Chordata; Mammalia; Carnivora; Canidae. RNAcentral also lists the same sequence under 1 other name.
ACCCAGCUGGCUCAUCGAUAGAGCGUGCGACUUUUGAUCUCAGGGCUGUGGGUUUGAGCCCCAUGUGGAGUG